Molecule: non-coding RNA, 76 nt
Organism: Cordylochernes scorpioides
Lineage: Eukaryota; Metazoa; Arthropoda; Arachnida; Pseudoscorpiones; Chernetidae
Source: the annotation of a GenBank genome assembly
UGCCCAAUCCUGGAUUCGAUCCUGGGUCGUAGCGGUCGAAAACCGAUGGUUUAGACCACUCUUUCACCAACCAGAC